GGGGGUACACGAGUGGCGAACGGGUGAGUAACGCGUGGGUAACCUACCCUAAAGUGGGGGGAUAGCCUCGGGAAACCGAGGGUAAUACCGCAUACGUCCCAGAUGACUCAAGUCGACUGGGGGAAAGGCGGGGAUCUUCGGACCUGCCGCUUUUGGAUGGGCCCGCGUCCGAUUAGCUUGUUGGUGGGGUAAUGGCCUACCAAGGCACCGAUCGGUAGCCGGCCUGAGAGGGCGAUCGGCCACAUUGGGACUGAGACACGGCCCAG
Molecule: ribosomal RNA, 266 nt
Filed under: uncultured bacterium
Lineage: Bacteria
Description: partial 16S ribosomal RNA
Rfam family: Bacterial small subunit ribosomal RNA
Source: RNAcentral